CUAAGUAUAAGCAACUAUACGGUGAAACUGCGAAUGGCUCAUUAAAUCAGUUAUCGUUUAUUUGAUAGUACCUUACUACAUGGAUAACCGUGGUAAUUCUAGAGCUAAUACAUGCUAAAAACCUCGACUUCGGAAGGGGUGUAUUUAUUAGAUAAAAAACCAAUGCCCUUCGGGGCUCCUNGGUGAAUCAUAAUAACUUAACGAAUCGCAUGGCCUUGCGCCGGCGAUGGUUCAUUCAAAUUUCUGCCCUAUCAACUUUCGAUGGUAGGAUAGUGGCCUACCAUGGUAUCAACGGGUAACGGGGAAUUAGGGUUCGACUCCGGAGAGGGAGCCUGAGAAACGGCUACCACAUCCAAGGAAGGCAGCAGGCGCGCAAAUUACCCAAUCCCGACACGGGGAGGUAGUGACAAUAAAUACUGAUACAGGGCUCUUUUGGGUCUUGUAAUUGGAAUGAGUACAAUUUAAAUCCCUUAACGAGGAACAAUUGGAGGGCAAGUCUGGUGCCAGCAGCCGCGGUAAUUCCAGCUCCAAUAGCGUAUAUUAAAGUUGUUGCAGUUAAAAAGCUCGUAGUUGAACCUUGGGCCUGGCUGGCCGGUCCGCCUCACCGCGUGUACUGGUCCGGCCGGGCCUUUCCUUCUGGGGAACCUCAUGCCCUUCACUGGGCGUGUUGGGGAACCAGGACUUUUACUUUGAAAAAAUUAGAGUGUUCAAAGCAGGCCUUUGCUCGAAUACAUUAGCAUGGAAUAAUAGAAUAGGACGUGUGGUUCUAUUUUGUUGGUUUCUAGGACCGCCGUAAUGAUUAAUAGGGAUAGUCGGGGGCAUCAGUAUUCAAUCGUCAGAGGUGAAAUUCUUGGAUUGAUUGAAGACUAACUACUGCGAAAGCAUUUGCCAAGGAUGUUUUCAUUAAUCAGUGAACGAAAGUUAGGGGAUCGAAGACGAUCAGAUACCGUCGUAGUCUUAACCAUAAANNAUGCCGACUAGGGAUCGGACGGUGUUAGUAUUUUGACCCGUUCGGCACCUUACGAGAAAUCAAAGUUUUUGGGUU
RNAcentral lists this ribosomal RNA (1045 nucleotides) under Cladosporium cladosporioides. RNAcentral describes it as "SSU rRNA". It matches the Rfam family "Eukaryotic small subunit ribosomal RNA", at positions 59 to 1113 of the family's 1831-position model. The record is from RNAcentral. Lineage: Eukaryota; Fungi; Ascomycota; Dothideomycetes; Cladosporiales; Cladosporiaceae.